This 1187-nucleotide ribosomal RNA is filed under the name uncultured Campylobacter sp. RNAcentral describes it as "bacterial SSU rRNA". It matches the Rfam family "Bacterial small subunit ribosomal RNA", at positions 154 to 1360 of the family's 1533-position model. Lineage: Bacteria; Pseudomonadati; Campylobacterota; Epsilonproteobacteria; Campylobacterales; Campylobacteraceae. The record is from RNAcentral.
AAACGGCUGCUAAUACUCUAUACUCCUGUCUUACAUAGUUAGAUAGGGAAAGUUUUUCGGUGUAGGAUGAGGCUAUAUUGUAUCAGCUAGUUGGUGAGGUAAUGGCUCACCAAGGCUAUGACGCAUAACUGGUCUGAGAGGAUGAUCAGUCACACUGGAACUGAGACACGGUCCAGACUCCUACGGGAGGCAGCAGUAGGGAAUAUUGCUCAAUGGGGGAAACCCUGAAGCAGCAACGCCGCGUGGAGGAUAACACUUUUCGGAGCGUAAACUCCUUUUGUUAGGGAAGAAUAAUGACGGUACCUAACGAAUAAGCACCGGCUAACUCCGUGCCAGCAGCCGCGGUAAUGCGGAGGGUGCAAGCGUUACUCGGAAUCACUGGGCGUAAAGGACGCGUAGGCGGAUUAUCAAGUCUCUUGUGAAAUCCUAUGGCUUAACCAUAGAACUGCUUGAGAAACUGGUAAUCUAGAGUGAGGGAGAGGCAGAUGGAAUUGGUGGUGUAGGGGUAAAAUCCGUAGAGAUCACCAGGAAUACCCAUUGCGAAGGCGAUCUGCUGGAACUCAACUGACGCUAAUGCGUGAAAGCGUGGGGAGCAAACAGGAUUAGAUACCCUGGUAGUCCACGCCCUAAACGAUGUAUACUAGUUGUUGCUAAGCUAGUCUUGGCAGUAAUGCACCUAACGGAUUAAGUAUACCGCCUGGGGAGUACGGUCGCAAGAUUAAAACUCAAAGGAAUAGACGGGGACCCGCACAAGCGGUGGAGCAUGUGGUUUAAUUCGAAGAUACGCGAAGAACCUUACCCGGACUUGAUAUCUAACAAAUCAUCUAGAGAUAGAAGAGUGUCUGCUUGCAGAAAUGUUAAGACAGGUGCUGCACGGCUGUCGUCAGCUCGUGUCGUGAGAUGUUGGGUUAAGUCCCGCAACGAGCGCAACCCACGUCAUUAGUUGCUAACAGUUCGGCUGAGCACUCUAAUGAGACUGCCUUCGUAAGGAGGAGGAAGGUGUGGACGACGUCAAGUCAUCAUGGCCCUUAUGUCCGGGGCGACACACGUGCUACAAUGGCAUAUACAAUGAGAAGCAAUAUCGCGAGACGGAGCAAAUCUAUAAAAUAUGUCCCAGUUCGGAUUGGAGUCUGCAACUCGACUCCAUGAAGCCGGAAUCGCUAGUAAUCGUAGAUCAGCCAUGCUAC